Molecule: long non-coding RNA, 883 nt
Filed under: Marmota monax (woodchuck)
Lineage: Eukaryota; Metazoa; Chordata; Mammalia; Rodentia; Sciuridae
Source: RNAcentral
CAUUCACUUGUGAAAUACAUUUCGUCUGUGUUGCACCUACAGCCUUCUCAAAAACUCAUCAUCUCUAAAUAUGGACCUUGUAGAAACAGUAAAAUGAUGGUUCACAGAAACCCCAUGCUCCUUAAAGGAUACAUGGAGAAAGGAGGAAUAAGUUCAAGACAGCACCAUGCCAAUGGUUGUAACACUGUAUAAUAUACUUGAAAAUUAAAAAGAGAGCUGACCUUAGAUGACUUCACCACAAAUAAAUAAAUUUAAGUAUAUUAACUAAUACAUGUUGAUGAAGUUGAUUUAGCUAUUCCACAAUGAACACAUUUAUCAAAACAUUCUGUUGUUCAUCAUAAAUGCACACAAUUUAUUUAUCAAUUAGCUUUAAUUCAUUCAUCUUUUAAAGGAAGUCAUUGUCCUUAUGUAAGUUCGCAGAAAGCUCACUGCAUACUUUUUGUUAGCAAAAUUUCUAACCAUUGCCCUCAUUGUUGGCAGAAUGCACAAAAGCCGCUUGUAGUAACUGUGCUCUAAGUUCACCAAAGAGCCAAGUUUCCUAUAUAAAAUGAAAGCAAGAUAAAUAGCUAAACCUGACCAUGCUCCCUGUUUACUUGACAGCUGCCCUUCCCAAAGCCUGCCAGGAAUGCAGGGGUGCAAAGCCCACUCAUGAACACAUGGUUGAACAAACACACUCAGCAGGCUGGGGCAGGAGGCUGGGCUCGCAGGAUGAACAAGUGUGAGGAUGAACUUGUUCCAGCUCCUCAAAGGAGUGAUCACUCAAAUCCAGGAGGAGAACACAGAGGUCUGCAAGAGGAGGAAGGAAUGCGAUCUGGGAAGAGGGUGAUGAGACACAGUAAGAGGCACCUCUCCUGGAGUCAGUGCUACCCAAGAAGAAGCCCCA